CCCCACCUAGCUCAAUUGGAUAGAGCGCCAGACAUACAAUAUGAAGGUUGCGAGUUGAAGUCUCGCGGUGGGCU
RNAcentral lists this transfer RNA (74 nucleotides) under Stereum hirsutum FP-91666 SS1. Its description in RNAcentral is "tRNA-Val (TAC) (tRNA-Val-TAC-7-1)". The record is from RNAcentral. Lineage: Eukaryota; Fungi; Basidiomycota; Agaricomycetes; Russulales; Stereaceae.